CCCGUAUGUGAACCUGCGGAAGGAUCAUUA
RNAcentral lists this ribosomal RNA (30 nucleotides) under Globisporangium ultimum var. ultimum. Its description in RNAcentral is "partial 18S ribosomal RNA". Lineage: Eukaryota; Oomycota; Peronosporomycetes; Pythiales; Pythiaceae. The record is from RNAcentral.